UACGGAGGAUCCAAGCGUUAUCCGGAUUUAUUGGGUUUAAAGGGUGCGUAGGUGGCUUAUUAAGUCAGGGGUGAAAGACGGUAGCUUAACUAUCGCAGUGCCUUUGAUACUGAUGAGCUUGAAUGAACUAGAGGUAGGCGGAAUGUGACAAGUAGCGGUGAAAUGCAUAGAUAUGUCACAGAACACCAAUUGCGAAGGCAGCUUACUAUGGUUAAAUUGACACUGAGGCACGAAAGCGUGGGGAUCAAACAGG
RNAcentral lists this ribosomal RNA (253 nucleotides) under uncultured bacterium. RNAcentral describes it as "partial 16S ribosomal RNA". It matches the Rfam family "Bacterial small subunit ribosomal RNA", at positions 524 to 776 of the family's 1533-position model. The record is from RNAcentral.